This 468-nucleotide ribosomal RNA is filed under the name uncultured bacterium. RNAcentral's name for it is "partial 16S ribosomal RNA". It matches the Rfam family "Bacterial small subunit ribosomal RNA", at positions 28 to 507 of the family's 1533-position model. The record is from RNAcentral.
GACGAACGCUGGCGGCGUGCUUAACACAUGCAAGUCGAACGGAAAGGCCCUGCCUUUGUGGGGUGCUCGAGUGGCGAAGGGGGGAGUAACACGUGAGUAACCGGCUCUUGACUUUGGGAUAACUUCAGGAAACUGGGGCUAAUACCGGAUAGGAGCUCCUGCUCGAUGGUGGGCGUUGGAACGUUUCGGCGGUUGGGGAUGGACUCGCGGCUGAUGAGCUUGCUGGUGGGGGAGUGGCUUACCCAGGCUUUGACGGGUAGCCGGCUUGUGAGGGUGACCGGGCACAUUGGGACAGCGAGACGGAGCAGAGUGCAAUGGGAGGCAGCAGGGGGGAAUAUUGCACAAUGGGAGGAAGCGGGAGGCAACGGCGCCGGGUUCGGGAAGCCGUCCUUUGGGGUGAGAACCGCUGUCGCCUGUGACGAAGCGUGAGUGACGGUAAUGGAUGAAGAAGCACCGGCUAACUACGUG